UACGAAGGGGGCUAGCGUUGCUCGGAAUGACUGGGCGUAAAGCGCACGCAGGCGGUCUGUUAAGUCAGAUGUGAAAUCCCCGGGCUUAACCUGGGAACUGCAUUUGAAACUGGCAGGCUUGAGUCUUGUAGAGGGGGGUAGAAUUCCAGGUGUAGCGGUGAAAUGCGUAGAGAUCUGGAGGAAUACCGGUGGCGAAGGCGGCCCCCUGGACAAAGACUGACGCUCAGGUGCGAAAGCGUGGGGAGCAAACAGG
RNAcentral lists this ribosomal RNA (253 nucleotides) under uncultured bacterium. RNAcentral's name for it is "partial 16S ribosomal RNA". It matches the Rfam family "Bacterial small subunit ribosomal RNA", at positions 524 to 776 of the family's 1533-position model. The record is from RNAcentral.